RNAcentral lists this ribosomal RNA (253 nucleotides) under uncultured bacterium. RNAcentral describes it as "partial 16S ribosomal RNA". It matches the Rfam family "Bacterial small subunit ribosomal RNA", at positions 524 to 776 of the family's 1533-position model. The record is from RNAcentral. RNAcentral also lists the same sequence under 1 other name.
UACGUAGGGGGCAAGCGUUGUCCGGAUUUAUUGGGCGUAAAGAGCGUGUAGGCGGCUAGAUAGGUCCGUUGUGAAAACUCGAGGCUCAACCUCGAGACGCCGGUGGAAACCAUCUAGCUAGAGUCCGGAAGAGGAGAGUGGAAUUCCUGGUGUAGCGGUGAAAUGCGCAGAUAUCAGGAAGAACACCCGUGGCGAAGGCGGCUCUCUGGUACGUGACUGACGCUGAGACGCGAAAGCGUGGGGAGCGAACAGG